GCCUUGUAGCGGGGGAUAACUAUUGGAAACGAUAGCUAAUACCGCAUAACAAUGGAUGACACAUGUCAUUUAUUUGAAAGGGGCAAUUGCUCCACUACAAGAUGGACCUGCGUUGUAUUAGCUAGUAGGUGAGGUAAUGGCUCACCUAGGCGACGAUACAUAGCCGACCUGAGAGGGUGAUCGGCCACACUGGGACUGAGACACGGCCCAGACUCCUACGGGAGGCAGCAGUAGGGAAUCUUCGGCAAUGGGGGCAACCCUGACCGAGCAACGCCGCGUGAGUGAAGAAGGUUUUCGGAUCGUAAAGCUCUGUUGUAAGUCAAGAACGGGUGUGAGAGUGGAAAGUUCACACUGUGACGGUAGCUUACCAGAAAGGGACGGCUAACUACGUGCCAGCAGCCGCGGUAAUACGUAGGUCCCGAGCGUUGUCCGGAUUUAUUGGGCGUAAAGCGAGCGCAGGCGGUUUGAUAAGUCUGAAGUUAAAGGCUGUGGCUCAACCAUAGUUCGCUUUGGAAACUGUCAAACUUGAGUGCAGAAGGGGAGAGUGGAAUUCCAUGUGUAGCGGUGAAAUGCGUAGAUAUAUGGAGGAACACCGGUGGCGAAAGCGGCUCUCUGGUCUGUAACUGACGCUGAGGCUCGAAAGCGUGGGGAGCGAACAGGAUUAGAUACCCUGGUAGUCCACGCCGUAUACGAUGAGUGCUAGGUGUUGGAUCCUUUCCGGGAUUCAGUGCCGCAGCUAACGCAUUAAGCACUCCGCCUGGGGAGUACGACCGCAAGGUUGAAACUCAAAGGAAUUGACGGGGGCCCGCACAAGCGGUGGAGCAUGUGGUUUAAUUCGAAGCAACGCGAAGAACCUUACCAGGUCUUGACAUCCCGAUGCUAUUUCUAGAGAUAGAAAGUUACUUCGGUACAUCGGUGAC
Molecule: ribosomal RNA, 920 nt
Filed under: Streptococcus thermophilus
Lineage: Bacteria; Bacillati; Bacillota; Bacilli; Lactobacillales; Streptococcaceae
Description: bacterial SSU rRNA
Rfam family: Bacterial small subunit ribosomal RNA
Source: RNAcentral